UCCCUGGAAGUCUAGUGGUUAGGACCUCACCCUUUCACUGCCAAGGACCUGGGUUUGAUCCCUGGCCAGGGAA
RNAcentral lists this transfer RNA (73 nucleotides) under Bos taurus (domestic cattle). It matches the Rfam family "tRNA". Rfam says of the family: Transfer RNA (tRNA) molecules are approximately 80 nucleotides in length. RNAcentral also lists the same sequence under 4 other names. Lineage: Eukaryota; Metazoa; Chordata; Mammalia; Artiodactyla; Bovidae. The record is from Rfam by way of RNAcentral.